UGAGGAAUUUUCCGCAAUGGGCGAAAGCCUGACGGAGCAAUACCGCGUGAGGGAUGAAGGAUUUUGGUCUGUAAACCUCUUUUCUCAAGAAAGAAGUUCUGACGGUACUUGAGGAAUAAGCAUCGGCUAACUCCGUGCCAGCAGCCGCGGUAAUACGGGGGAUGCAAGCGUUAUCCGGAUUUAUUGGGCGUAAAGCGCCUGUAGGUUGUUUAAUAAGUCUGUUGUUAAAGACUAGGGCUUAACCCUAGGAAAGCAAUGGAAACUACUAGACUUGAGUAUGAUAGGGGUAGAGGGAAUUUCUAGUGUAGCGGUGAAAUGCGUAGAUAUUAGAAAGAACACCGGUGGCGAAGGCGCUCUACUGGAUCAUUACUGACACUCAGAGGCGAAAGCUAGGGUAGCAAAAGGGAUUAGAUACCCCUGUAGUCCUACCCGUAAACGAUGGAUACUACAUGUUGCGUUUUUAAUGCAGUAUGGUAGCUAACGCGUUA
This 488-nucleotide ribosomal RNA is filed under the name uncultured cyanobacterium. RNAcentral's name for it is "bacterial SSU rRNA". It matches the Rfam family "Bacterial small subunit ribosomal RNA", at positions 355 to 862 of the family's 1533-position model. The record is from RNAcentral. Lineage: Bacteria; Bacillati; Cyanobacteriota.